CCCACCCUGGGGCUGAGCAGCGGAAUGAGCAAUGUUUUCCACUGCGAGCAGGAGACAGGCUAAGCUGCAUGGGGGUGAAUCAUGAGAGCCUGAACGGAGACAGAUUCGGACUAGAAGGGAACUCCACUUAAUAAAGGCUGUGUCCCCCACGUCCCCUCAAGAGCAGUCCUGGAAAGGAGACCUACCCCUUCUCAGAUAGCAGGCUGAAGCUUUCUGACCAUCUGAACCCUUCUGGAUUUCUGAUCAGUGGCAGUGUUGAAAGAGAAAGGCUCUAGGGGACAAUGGACGUGACAGCCAAGCAGAGGCCUGGAAACUGCACGGGAGAGAAAGGCCAGACCCAGCCUCUGAGUGUGUUUUCUUUUCGGGAGAUGCUGCAGGAGUGAGCAGCAAUGACUUGCGAUUCAGCCAAAGUGAUGGGCUGGGUCAGCAAAGACGACCAUGAAACCAGAACCUGGGUGCAAAACAACGCUUUCUCCUGUACAUUUCCGUGUUUGCAUCACGACAUUGACAU
Molecule: long non-coding RNA, 511 nt
Organism: Neogale vison (American mink)
Lineage: Eukaryota; Metazoa; Chordata; Mammalia; Carnivora; Mustelidae
Exons: 4
Source: RefSeq, a predicted model, not a curated record